AAGAGGUCAGCCCCGCCCUUUUCUCUAUUUUCAGUCAGAAACAAAAGUGUUCAUAUUGAGCUGAAAUUAAGCAUACACAUUCUACAAGUGAUCCCCUUUAAUUUGGACGUGUGAAAAGGGACAGGAAGAACAACAUUCGAAAUUUGGCCUUGGAAGAUGCCAAUAGUCAGAAAACAAGUGCCAAUACUGACCUGAUACUAGGCACACACACCCUAUAAGUGAUGCUCUUGAAUUUGCAGGUGUGCAAAAAGACAGGAAGAAGAACAUUCGAAAUUUAGCCUUUGAAGAUGCCUCAAGGUCUUGCCCUUUUCUCCAUUUUCAGCCAGGAAACAGAAGUGCCCACACCAGGUGUGCAAAGAGACACGUAAAAGAACAUUCGAAAUUUGGCCACUGAAGAUGCGAAGAGGUGUGCAUAGAGACAGGUAAAAGAACAUUCGAAAUUUGGCCCUUGAAGAUGCCAAUCCCGAAAACAGAAGUGCCCAUACUGAGCUCAGAUUAGCACACAUAGAAUAUAAGCGAUGCAGCUUUAAUUUGCAGGUGUGCAAACAGACAAGUCGAAGAACAUUCGAAACAAACUGGGCCUCAGAAGAUGCCAAGAGGUGUGGAAAGGGACAGGCAGAAAAACUUUCAAAUUUGGCCUUUGAAGACUCUUUCAGCAUCUUCAGCCAGAAAACAAAAGUGCCCGUAGUGACCUCGAAUUAGGCACACACAGAAUAUACGUGAUGCUCUGAAUUUGAAGGCGUACAAAGAGACAGUCAGAAAACAAAGGUGCCCAUACUGUUCUCAAGCUAUACACACACAGAAUGAGCCUAAAGGUACAGGUAAAAGGACAUUUGAAGUUUGGCAUUUGAGGAUGGCGAGAGGUUAGGCUUUCCGUUUUCUCCAUUUUCAGCCAGAGAACAAAAGCGCCCAUACUGUGCACAAAUUAAGCACACGCCCAAUAAGUGAUGCUCUUGAAUUUGCAGGCGUCCGAAGGGACAGGUAACAGAGCAUUCGAAAUUUGGCCUUUGAAGAUGAGAAGAGGUUAG
Molecule: long non-coding RNA, 1028 nt
Organism: Ornithodoros turicata
Lineage: Eukaryota; Metazoa; Arthropoda; Arachnida; Ixodida; Argasidae
Exons: 8
Source: RefSeq, a predicted model, not a curated record